UCCGUAGGUGGAUCAAUCAGUCAGAGGUGAAAUCCUGCAGCUUAACUGUAGAACUGCCUUUGAUACUGUUGAUCUUGAGUCAUUAUGAAGUGGUUAGAAUGUGUAGUGUAGCGGUGAAAUGCAUAGAUAUUACACAGAAUACCGAUUGCGAAGGUAGAUCACUAAUAAUGUACUGACACUGAGGGACGAAAGCGUGGGGAGCGAACAGGAUUAGAUACCCUGGUAGUCC
This 229-nucleotide ribosomal RNA is filed under the name uncultured bacterium. RNAcentral's name for it is "partial 16S ribosomal RNA". It matches the Rfam family "Bacterial small subunit ribosomal RNA", at positions 568 to 796 of the family's 1533-position model. The record is from RNAcentral.